UACGUAGGGUGCGAGCGUUAAUCGGAAUUACUGGGCGUAAAGCGUGCGCAGGCGGUUUUGUAAGCCAGAUGUGAAAGCCCCGGGCUUAACCUGGGAAUGGCAUUUGGGACUGCAAGGCUAGAGUGCGGCAGAGGAGACUGGAAUUCCUGGUGUAGCAGUGAAAUGCGUAGAUAUCAGGAGGAAUACCGAUGGCGAAGGCAGGUCUCUGGGCUGACACUGACGCUCAUGCACGAAAGCGUGGGGAGCAAACAGG
Molecule: ribosomal RNA, 253 nt
Filed under: uncultured bacterium
Lineage: Bacteria
Description: partial 16S ribosomal RNA
Rfam family: Bacterial small subunit ribosomal RNA
Source: RNAcentral